This is a transfer RNA of Camelus ferus (Wild Bactrian camel), 73 nucleotides long. It matches the Rfam family "tRNA". From Rfam's summary of the family: Transfer RNA (tRNA) molecules are approximately 80 nucleotides in length. Their secondary structure includes four short double-helical elements and three loops (D, anti-codon, and T loops). The record is from Rfam. Lineage: Eukaryota; Metazoa; Chordata; Mammalia; Artiodactyla; Camelidae.
AAGGGUAUAGCUCAAGGGGUAGAACACAUGCUUAGCAUGCAUGAGGUCCUGGGUUCAAUCCCCAGUACCCCCA